UUAGUAACUGCGAGUGAAGAGGGAAAAGCUCAAAUUUUAAAUCUGGUAGUCUUUGGCUAUCCGAGUUGUAAUUUAGAGAAGUGUUAUCCGCGCUGGACCGUGUAUAAGUCUCCUGGAAUGGAGCGUCAUAGAGGGUGAGAAUCCCGUCUUUGACACGGACUACCAGGGCUUUGUGAUGCGCUCUCAAAGAGUCGAGUUGUUUGGGAAUGCAGCUCUAAAUGGGUGGUAAAUUCCAUCUAAAGCUAAAUACUGGCGAGAGACCGAUAGUGAACAAGUACCGUGAGGGAAAGAUGAAAAGAACUUUGGAAAGAGAGUUAAAUAGUACGUGAAAUUGUUGAAAGGGAAACGCUUGAAGUCAGUCGUGUUAAUUAGAGAUCAACCUUGCUUUUAUUGCUUGGUGUAUUUUCUGGUUAAUGGGUCAGCAUCAAUUUUGACUAGUGGAAAAAGGUCAGGGGAAUGUGGCAUCCUUGGAUGUGUUAUAGCCCUUGGUUGUAUACAUUGGUUGGGAUUGAGGAACUCAGCAUGCCGCAAGGCCAGGUUUUUAAAACCAUGUUCAUGCUUAGGAUGCUGGCAUAAUGGCUUUAAUCGACCCGUCUUGAAACACGGACCAAGGAGUCUAACAUGCCUGCGAGUGUUUGGGUGGAAAACCCAAGCGCGUAAUGAAAGUGAAAGUUGGGAUCCCUGUCAUGGGGAGCACUGACGCCCGGACCAGACCUUUUGUGACGGAUCCGCGGUAGAGCAUGUAUGUUGGGACCCGAAAGAUGGUGAACUAUGCCUGAAUAG
This 783-nucleotide ribosomal RNA is filed under the name Entoloma fragilum. Its description in RNAcentral is "eukaryotic LSU rRNA". It matches the Rfam family "Eukaryotic large subunit ribosomal RNA", at positions 80 to 844 of the family's 3401-position model. Lineage: Eukaryota; Fungi; Basidiomycota; Agaricomycetes; Agaricales; Entolomataceae. The record is from RNAcentral.